ACGAUCGUGUAUUCGUCUUUUCCAGUGACAGCUUCUCACCAAGCUCUAGUCCAGCGACUUGUCGGCGAUCAUCUCGAAGUGGUUCUGACGCAGCGGACGCCCCGCGAUUAAGGGCAGCCAUUCGCCUUAUCUUCGGGCCAACUCAAUCCAAGAUCGACAUUCGCAACAGCUCGCCGCGAUGCUGUCUCUGAAUCGUGUGG
RNAcentral lists this ribosomal RNA (200 nucleotides) under uncultured eukaryote. RNAcentral's name for it is "partial 18S ribosomal RNA". The record is from RNAcentral.